Molecule: long non-coding RNA, 195 nt
Organism: Pollicipes pollicipes
Lineage: Eukaryota; Metazoa; Arthropoda; Thecostraca; Pollicipedomorpha; Pollicipedidae
Exons: 3
Source: RefSeq, a predicted model, not a curated record
CGGGCGGUGGCCGAGCUGGCACAGCGCCGCGCUCACGACGACGACGAGCGGCAGCGGGAUGGCGUCAAGUGCAAACGGGUAUUGCUGGUUUCUCCAAAAAGUCCCACCGCAGACGCUGAGGUCGGCGUUGGGGAGUCGCCGCGACCCCGGCUGGGCGUGACUCCGCUGCAGCUGCCGCCAGCUGCCAGCGACGCC